This 468-nucleotide ribosomal RNA is filed under the name uncultured bacterium. Its description in RNAcentral is "partial 16S ribosomal RNA". It matches the Rfam family "Bacterial small subunit ribosomal RNA", at positions 28 to 507 of the family's 1533-position model. The record is from RNAcentral.
GACGAACGCUGGCGGCGUGCUUAACACAUGCAAGUCGAACGGAAAGGCCCUGCUUUUGUGGGGUGCUCGAGUGGCGAACGGGUGAGUAACACGUGAGUAACCUGCCCUUGACUUUGGGAUAACUUCAGGAAACUGGGGCUAAUACCGGAUAGGAGCUCCUGCUGCAUGGUGGGGGUUGGAAAGUUUCGGCGGUUGGGGAUGGACUCGCGGCUUAUCAGCUUGUUGGUGGGGUAGUGGCUUACCAAGGCUUUGACGGGUAGCCGGCCUGAGAGGGUGACCGGCCACAUUGGGACUGAGAUACGGCACAGACUCAUACGGGAGGCAGCAGUGGGGAAUAUUGCACAAUGGGCGGAAGCCUGAUGCAGCAACGCCGCGUGCGGGAUGACGGCCUUCGGGUUGUAAACCGCUUUCGCCUGUGACGAAGCGUGAGUGACGGUAAUGGGUAAAGAAGCACCGGCUAACUACGUG